This is a long non-coding RNA of Gavia stellata (red-throated loon), 197 nucleotides long. RefSeq lists it as uncharacterized. The record is from RefSeq and is a predicted model, not a curated record. The transcript has 3 exons. Lineage: Eukaryota; Metazoa; Chordata; Aves; Gaviiformes; Gaviidae.
UUUUGUUCCUCACAAAACUCUACUCUUCUUCUGAUAAAAGAGGCAGCGAAGCUGGAACAGGUAAAAAAAUUUUCUAGAGAAGUAUACUGGGUUGGAUUAAGAUUUAGAGCUGAAAAGAGAGACUGGUAUUGGACAGACAUGACAGCUCUUACAGAAGAACAAAAGUCUUGGGUAAAGCAUCUAGACUCCUACCAACA